GAGGAAGUGGCUUAGUGGUAAAGUGCUUGCCUAGCAUGCAUGAAGCCCAGGGUUCGAUUCCUCAGUUCCACA
Dipodomys ordii (Ord's kangaroo rat) is the source of this 72-nucleotide non-coding RNA. NCBI's taxonomy places the organism in Eukaryota, Metazoa, Chordata, Mammalia, Rodentia, Heteromyidae. The record is from Rfam.